This 69-nucleotide transfer RNA is filed under the name human gut metagenome. It matches the Rfam family "tRNA". Rfam says of the family: Transfer RNA (tRNA) molecules are approximately 80 nucleotides in length. Their secondary structure includes four short double-helical elements and three loops (D, anti-codon, and T loops). RNAcentral also lists the same sequence under 4 other names. The record is from RNAcentral.
CGGAAGUAGCUCAGUUGGUAGAGCAUCAGCCUUCCAAGCUGAGGGUCGCGAGUUCGAACCUCGUUUUCC